AUGCCUCUAGCAUGAAGUCAGACAAGUGAACCCGCUGAAUUUAA
This 44-nucleotide ribosomal RNA is filed under the name Cladocopium sp. clade C. RNAcentral describes it as "partial 28S ribosomal RNA". The record is from RNAcentral. Lineage: Eukaryota; Dinophyceae; Suessiales; Symbiodiniaceae.